This 229-nucleotide ribosomal RNA is filed under the name uncultured bacterium. Its description in RNAcentral is "partial 16S ribosomal RNA". It matches the Rfam family "Bacterial small subunit ribosomal RNA", at positions 106 to 334 of the family's 1533-position model. The record is from RNAcentral.
CGGGAGUAACGCGUGGGUAACCUGCCUUAUACAGGGGGAUAACAGUCAGAAAUGACUGCUAAUACCGCAUAAGCGCACAGAGCUGCAUGGCUCAGUGUGAAAAACUCCGGUGGUAUAAGAUGGACCCGCGUUGGAUUAGCUAGUUGGUGAGGUAACGGCCCACCAAGGCGACGAUCCAUAGCCGGCCUGAGAGGGUGAACGGCCACAUUGGGACUGAGACACGGCCCAG